RNAcentral lists this long non-coding RNA (279 nucleotides) under Lupinus angustifolius (narrow-leaved blue lupine). RNAcentral describes it as "long non-coding RNA (LANG_LNC003707)". The record is from RNAcentral. Lineage: Eukaryota; Viridiplantae; Streptophyta; Magnoliopsida; Fabales; Fabaceae.
GAUGCAGUCCAUCUUACUUUAAUUGAUUUAAUAUUAAAAAAAUUAACUUCUUAGCAAUGAGAAAGGAGAUGAUGGACAUGAAUGAAAGAAAGUAGUGUGAAAUGGUGAUAAUGAUCAUUAGUGGGUAAAAAAAAAUGCUAGAUAGAUUUGAGAAAUAACCUACAUGAUCAACAUAUAUAAGAGUAGAAUUGAGAUAUAGUAAGCCUAACUUGAGAUCAAUUUUGUACAACAAUUUUCCCCUUUUAUUGGCACAUUCUUGCCGCAUUAUAUGAAACUAAA